RNAcentral lists this ribosomal RNA (373 nucleotides) under uncultured organism. Its description in RNAcentral is "partial 16S ribosomal RNA". It matches the Rfam family "Bacterial small subunit ribosomal RNA", at positions 527 to 896 of the family's 1533-position model. The record is from RNAcentral.
GUAGGUGGCAAGCGUUGUCCGGAAUUAUUGGGGCGUAAAGCGCGCGCAGGCGGUCCUUUAAGUCUGAUGUGAAAGCCCACGGGCUCAACCGUGGAGGGUCAUUGGAAACUGGGGGACUUGAGUGCAGAAGAGGAGAGUGGAAUUCCACGUGUAGCGGUGAAAUGCGUAGAGAUGUGGAGGAACACCAGUGGCGAAGGCGACUCUCUGGUCUGUAACUGACGCUGAGGCGCGAAAGCGUGGGGAGCGAACAGGAUUAGAUACCCUGGUAGUCCACGCCGUAAACGAUGAGCGCUAAGUGUUAGAGGGUUUCCGCCCUUUAGUGCUGCAGCUAACGCAUUAAGCACUCCGCCUGGGGAGUACGGUCGCAAGACUG